GACGGGUAUAAACCCGGGAAUCUGGGUAUAAUCCCGAUAGAUCUCGGGUCGCUGGAAAGCUCCGAGAUCGAAAGCUCCGGCGCCAGAGGAUGGGUCUGCGGCCUAUCAGGUAGUAGUGGGUGUAGCGUACCUACUAGCCUACGACGGGUACGGGUUGUGAGAGCAAGAGCCCGGAGAUGGAUUCUGAGACACGAAUCCAGGCCCUACGGGGUGCAGCAGGCGCGAAAACUUUACAAUGCCGGCAACGGCGAUAAGGGGACCUCGAGUGCCAGGUUACAAAUCUGGCUGUCGUGAUGCCUAAAAAGCAUUGCAUAGCAAGGGCCGGGCAAGACCGGUGCCAGCCGCCGCGGUAACACCGGCGGCUCGAGUGGUAACCGUUAUUAUUGGGUCUAAAGGGUCUGUAGCCGGCCGGAUAAGUCUCUUGAGAAAUCCAGCAGCUCAACUGUUGGGCUUUCAGGAGAUACUGUCUGGCUCGAGGCCGGGAGAGGUGAGAGGUACUUCAGGGGUAGGGGUGAAAUCUUGUAAUCCUUGAAGGACCACCAGUGGCGAAGGCGUCUCACCAGAACGGACCUGACGGCAAGGGACGAAAGCUAGGGGCACGAACCGGAUUAGAUACCCGGGUAGUCC
This 627-nucleotide ribosomal RNA is filed under the name uncultured Methanosaeta sp. RNAcentral's name for it is "bacterial SSU rRNA". It matches the Rfam family "Archaeal small subunit ribosomal RNA", at positions 119 to 747 of the family's 1478-position model. Lineage: Archaea; Methanobacteriati; Methanobacteriota; Methanomicrobia; Methanotrichales; Methanotrichaceae. The record is from RNAcentral.